This 441-nucleotide ribosomal RNA is filed under the name uncultured bacterium. RNAcentral's name for it is "partial 16S ribosomal RNA". It matches the Rfam family "Bacterial small subunit ribosomal RNA", at positions 355 to 788 of the family's 1533-position model. The record is from RNAcentral.
UGGGGAAUAUUGCACAAUGGGCGCAAGCCUGAUGCAGCCAUGCCGCGUGUGUGAAGAAGGCCUUCGGGUUGUAAAGCACUUUCAGCGAGGAGGAAGGGUAGUGUGUUAAUAGCACAUUGCAUUGACGUUACUCGCAGAAGAAGCACCGGCUAACUCCGUGCCAGCAGCCGCGGUAAUACGGAGGGUGCAAGCGUUAAUCGGAAUUACUGGGCGUAAAGCGCACGCAGGCGGUUUGUUAAGUCAGAUGUGAAAUCCCCGCGCUUAACGUGGGAACUGCAUUUGAAACUGGCAAGCUAGAGUCUUGUAGAGGGGGGUAGAAUUCCAGGUGUAGCGGUGAAAUGCGUAGAGAUCUGGAGGAAUACCGGUGGCGAAGGCGGCCCCCUGGACAAAGACUGACGCUCAGGUGCGAAAGCGUGGGGAGCAAACAGGAUUAGAUACCCU